Molecule: ribosomal RNA, 646 nt
Filed under: Escherichia coli
Lineage: Bacteria; Pseudomonadati; Pseudomonadota; Gammaproteobacteria; Enterobacterales; Enterobacteriaceae
Description: partial 23S ribosomal RNA
Rfam family: Bacterial large subunit ribosomal RNA
Source: RNAcentral
GCAAUCUGUGUGACUGCGUACCUUUUGUAUAAUGGGUCAGCGACUUAUAUUCUGUAGCAAGGUUAACCGAAUAGGGGAGCCGAAGGGAAACCGAGUCUUAACUGGGCGUUAAGUUGCAGGGUAUAGACCCGAAACCCGGUGAUCUAGCCAUGGGCAGGUUGAAGGUUGGGUAACACUAACUGGAGGACCGAACCGACUAAUGUUGAAAAAUUAGCGGAUGACUUGUGGCUGGGGGUGAAAGGCCAAUCAAACCGGGAGAUAGCUGGUUCUCCCCGAAAGCUAUUUAGGUAGCGCCUCGUGAAUUCAUCUCCGGGGGUAGAGCACUGUUUCGGCAAGGGGGUCAUCCCGACUUACCAACCCGAUGCAAACUGCGAAUACCGGAGAAUGUUAUCACGGGAGACACACGGCGGGUGCUAACGUCCGUCGUGAAGAGGGAAACAACCCAGACCGCCAGCUAAGGUCCCAAAGUCAUGGUUAAGUGGGAAACGAUGUGGGAAGGCCCAGACAGCCAGGAUGUUGGCUUAGAAGCAGCCAUCAUUUAAAGAAAGCGUAAUAGCUCACUGGUCGAGUCGGCCUGCGCGGAAGAUGUAACGGGGCUAAACCAUGCACCGAAGCUGCGGCAGCGACGCUGAUGCGUUGUUGGGUA